AUUAAACGCUGGCGGCAUGCCUUACACAUGCAAGUCGAACGGCAGCACGGGGGCAACCCUGGUGGCGAGUGGCGGACGGGUGAGUAAAGCAUCGGAACGUAUCCUGGAGUGGGGGGAUAACGUAGCGAAAGUUACGCUAAUACCGCAUAUUCUGUGAGCAGGAAAGCAGGGGAUCGCAAGACCUUGCGCUCUGGGAGCGGCCGAUGUCGGAUUAGCUAGUUGGUGGGGUAAAGGCCUACCAAGGCGACGAUCCGUAGCGGGUCUGAGAGGAUGAUCCGCCACACUGGGACUGAGACACGGCCCAGACUCCUACGGGAGGCAGCAGUGGGGAAUUUUGGACAAUGGGCGGAAGCCUGAUCCAGCCAUGCCGUGUGAGUGAAGAAGGCCUGGUGUAAGCUCUUCGGUC
Molecule: ribosomal RNA, 406 nt
Filed under: uncultured bacterium
Lineage: Bacteria
Description: bacterial SSU rRNA
Rfam family: Bacterial small subunit ribosomal RNA
Source: RNAcentral